CUGACUGACGCUGACGUACAGCCACGUGACUGGCUGGCAUGGGUCACGUGAGAGUUCAUAUCCUCCAAUCAGCAGGCUGCGCGGGAGUUCACGGCGGAGGCGCGAGGCCACCGGCUCGCUCCACUGCGUCCAGGAACAUAGAAACGAUGAUGUGGGAACAAUCUGCCGCUGUGGUUGCUGCGGAGGGUGCAGCCCUGGUCUCACGAGAGGCUGUGUGCUCACCAUUGCCCCAUCCCAGAAGUGUAGGGGCGCCCCUGGGUGUACAGGAGUAACGCGGUUAUUUCUAGUAGGAUUGCUCUGCUUGGACCCAGGUGCCCGGUGGAGCGGGAGCGGCUGGGAGGAAGCCUCUGCUGGACUGUGUGUGUGCCAUGAGCUCUGGAUGAAGGAAAUGCCUUCUGAAGUUGAAGAUGGGAGUCUUCAGGUCAGACGCAUCAGAGCCCCAAGGCAGUGGGCGGAAGCUGUGAGUGUCAUGUCAGGAUGCUGGACCGUCUCCAGGGCUUCCUGAGGGUGGGCUUCAGAGGCUGGCAGUCACUUCUGUGAAGUGUUUGGACUUCCCACAGUAUCAGAUGUACUCACAAUGAAAGAACCACAGGGUACGCCAAAGUCAAGCUGUAAAUUACUUGUAUUUUAUACAUUUGGGGUUGUCUGUUUUACUCUUUCUCUCCAUUCAGAUGUCAGGUUUGCUGUCAGUGAGCCCAUUUAUUCAGUCUGAAGCGUGGAUUAGGGACUUCCUGUGUGGUCAGUCCAGUCGUUAAGACUGCAUUCCCAAUGCAGGGGGCAUAGGUUCAGUCCCUGGUCAGAGAACUAAGAUCCUGCAAGCCAUACCGUGUGGUCAAAAUAAAAAAAUAAAGUGCAGAUGACAAUGACCUGAUUCCACAUGGCCACCCGUGAACACAGAAAAAGUCUGGAGGGAGCCCGACUGAGCAGAAAUAACCUAGCAAAGAAUGUUAUAUUUCCUCUGACUCCAGAAAAUAACAGUUGUCCACAUCAGUGUCAUCUGUG
Molecule: long non-coding RNA, 1002 nt
Organism: Bos taurus (domestic cattle)
Lineage: Eukaryota; Metazoa; Chordata; Mammalia; Artiodactyla; Bovidae
Source: Ensembl